UGGGGAAUUUUGGACAAUGGGGGAAACCCUGAUCCAGCCAUGCCGCGUGCGGGAAGAAGGCCUUCGGGUUGUAAACCGCUUUUGUCAGGGAAGAAAUCUUCUGGGCUAAUACCACAGAGGGAUGACGGUACCUGAAGAAUAAGCACCGGCUAACUACGUGCCAGCAGCCGCGGUAAUACGUAGGGUGCAAGCGUUAAUCGGAAUUACUGGGCGUAAAGCGUGCGCAGGCGGUUGUGCAAGACAGGUGUGAAAUCCCCGGGCUUAACCUGGGAACUGCACUUGUGACUGCACAGCUGGAGUACGGCAGAGGGGGAUGGAAUUCCGCGUGUAACAGUGAAAUGCGUAGAUAUGCGGAGGAACACCGAUGGCGAAGGCAGUCCCCUGGGCCUGUACUGACGCUCAUGCACGAAAGCGUGGGGAGCAAACAGGAUUAGAUACCCAUGUAGUCCCUGAGCGGGCUGGCAAGGCGCAU
Molecule: ribosomal RNA, 472 nt
Filed under: uncultured bacterium
Lineage: Bacteria
Description: bacterial SSU rRNA
Rfam family: Bacterial small subunit ribosomal RNA
Source: RNAcentral